This 73-nucleotide transfer RNA is filed under the name Salmo salar (Atlantic salmon). It matches the Rfam family "tRNA". From Rfam's summary of the family: Transfer RNA (tRNA) molecules are approximately 80 nucleotides in length. Their secondary structure includes four short double-helical elements and three loops (D, anti-codon, and T loops). The record is from Rfam by way of RNAcentral. Lineage: Eukaryota; Metazoa; Chordata; Actinopteri; Salmoniformes; Salmonidae.
UCCCGUGUGGCUCAGUUGGCAGAGCAUGGUGCUUGCACCUCCAGGGUUGUGGGUUUGAUUCCCAUGGGGGGAC